UGGGAAGAGGGGCGGGGCCGCCGGCUCCAGGGACAAUGGGGUGGGGCGGGCUUUCCCUGGGUGGGCGCAGCGGCUUCCUGGGCCCCCCUCACGCUCUGGGUCAGAGUUCCUUUACAGGCGGACCUGAGAGGCAACUCACCGACUCCUGCCCUGGACCCUCCUGCGCCACUGAACCCCCUGACCUGGGAGCCUCGGAACCUAGGGCUCAGGAGCUGGAUCCAGUCCCGGGACUCUCCUGCUUCCCAGCUCCUCCUCCCGCACCCCACAGCACCCCUUUCCUCUCAGAGCGGCCGUGGGUCCCAUCAGGCUUUCCCCUCGGAUCCUCUGCAGAUGAACCAGGACUUACCCGAAAGUACCAAGUGAACUUCUAGGAAAAGUCCAAUUCUCAGAUGCUGGAUGUCUUCCAAAAAUGAAGCAAAUUAGUAACUUAGUAGCUGAGUCAACUAAUCCUGUUAGAUGGUCAACAUUGAUUUUUUUAUUUUAAUAUUUUUAAGUGGCAGCUCUAGUGUGUGAGAAAAUUAAUGUGG
RNAcentral lists this long non-coding RNA (527 nucleotides) under Pan troglodytes (chimpanzee). Its description in RNAcentral is "lincRNA". The record is from RNAcentral. Lineage: Eukaryota; Metazoa; Chordata; Mammalia; Primates; Hominidae.